GUUGGGAUUUCUGAGUUCCUGCCUUAUUCUGGCUUCCAGUGACACUAUCGCUUUGCACCGUGAGUCGCUGUCCAUCGGUUGCAAUACGCGGGGAUGCUCGACGGAUUCAUACCUCAUAUCUCUUUCGGCGAUGCCGGGCGACCUCUGAACUUAGCCCCUGCGAGACCAAGAGUUCUGCAGUGUGAUUGCUGUGAGGCCAAUAUCUGCGGCAGUAAUGUUGCGCUUCGUGUCCGCCGGGCCAUUGACGUUGCGGAAGAAGAUCUCAGGCAUACUAAGCGUGCUAUUUCGGCUGCAAAGAAGGAAGAAAGCGAUGCGAUUCGCCGCGCUCUAGAAGCGGGUGCCGUGGCUAGUGAAGUCGAGCAGGCGACAGCUGAGGUGAUUGAUGACGUCGUUACCAGGGUUUUGAUAGCGACAACGCACACAGAAAAGAUUAUCCGGGAAGCAAAAGUUGCGGAGCAACGUAUGUUUAGCCGCAGCAACACAACUGGGCAUAUCUGAGGACGUUAUUAUACUCUCGUCGGACGAUGACAUGUGACUUGUCUACAUUUAUGUUCAAAUCGUUGUUUGAACUCUUUGUAAUCUAUAGUUCGAUCC
This is a long non-coding RNA of Brachypodium distachyon (stiff brome), 594 nucleotides long. RefSeq lists it as uncharacterized. Lineage: Eukaryota; Viridiplantae; Streptophyta; Magnoliopsida; Poales; Poaceae. The record is from RefSeq and is a predicted model, not a curated record. The transcript is spliced from 2 exons.